AUUGAACGCUGGCGGCAGGCCUAACACAUGCAAGUCGAACGGUAACAGGAAGCAGCUUGCUGCUUUGCUGCCGAGUGGCGGACGGGUGAGUAAUGUCUGGGAAACUGCCUGAUGGAGAGGGAUAACUACUGGAAACGGUAGCUAAUACCGCAUAACGUCGCAAGACCAAAGAGGGGGACCUUCGGGCCUCUUGCCAUCGGAUGUGCCCAGAUGGGAUUAGCUAGUAGGUGGGGUAACGGCUCACCUAGGCGACGAUCCCUAGCUGGUCUGAGAGGAUGACCAGCCACACUGGAACUGAGACACGGUCCAGACUCCUACGGGAGGCAGCAGUGGGGAAUAUUGCACAAUGGGCGCAAGCCUGAUGCAGCCAUGCCGCGUGUAUGAAGAAGGCCUUCGGGUUGUAAAGUACUUCCAGCGGGGAGGAAGGGAGUAAAGUUAAUACCUUUGCUCAUUGACGUUACCCGCAGAAGAAGCACCGGCUAACUCCGUG
RNAcentral lists this ribosomal RNA (490 nucleotides) under uncultured bacterium. RNAcentral's name for it is "partial 16S ribosomal RNA". It matches the Rfam family "Bacterial small subunit ribosomal RNA", at positions 30 to 507 of the family's 1533-position model. The record is from RNAcentral.